Molecule: transfer RNA, 71 nt
Filed under: Thermochaetoides thermophila DSM 1495
Lineage: Eukaryota; Fungi; Ascomycota; Sordariomycetes; Sordariales; Chaetomiaceae
Description: Chaetomium thermophilum var. thermophilum DSM 1495 tRNA-Gly
Rfam family: tRNA
About the family: Transfer RNA (tRNA) molecules are approximately 80 nucleotides in length. Their secondary structure includes four short double-helical elements and three loops (D, anti-codon, and T loops).
Source: RNAcentral
ACAACAGUCAUUCAAUGGUAGGAUUACCGUCUUCCACACGGAUUAUGCGGGUUCGAGUCCCGCCUGUUGUA